Molecule: long non-coding RNA, 505 nt
Organism: Ostrinia nubilalis (European corn borer)
Lineage: Eukaryota; Metazoa; Arthropoda; Insecta; Lepidoptera; Crambidae
Exons: 2
Source: RefSeq, a predicted model, not a curated record
UAGAGUCAUUCGGGGUAACAGCACGCGGUGGGUAAAAGUACGCGGUGGUCCGAUCUCCGACAGGGGUGGGGGAGCCGAGGUCUGUGUUUGUAAAAUAGAGUGGCGCUACUGUCGCCGUUUAGGAGCCACGCGCCGCGCCGACGCAAUCUAAGUACUGGUCGCGACACGUCGCCGAAUACUUGUAGCACGCUUAUUUCGUUUAAUUUUUAUGCCACGGAAAAGUGUGCUGUAGUUAAAUGGAUAGCUCUGUGCCAAAUACCUACACCAAAAUGCCGAGAAAUUACAUAAGGAAGGCCCCUCAGCGGACCCUCAUCUCAUCUCAAUGAUGACCAAAUAAUGAAGGCCAAUUAUUUUGAUCUCAAAGUGUGACUAUUGCCAAUAUAAAUAAUUUAAGACAAGAUUCACAUUAUAAUAGAUACAGGGUGGAAUUUUGUAAUGCCACCUGGAGGGAAAGUACUCUUAGUAAUGUAGAGGAAUCGAACCAACUAAAAUUUGUUAAAAAUUA